UACCCUUCAACAUUAAACAUCUCAAAAGAGAUCAAAUAUGGUUCAACACCAUUGUCUCACACAUAGUCAACAAAAAGCAUAACAUUUGAAGUCUUAGGACAUACUAAAGCUGCAAAACAGGAAAUUUAGAUGCCUAAGCAUUUUAAGGCCAGACAUUAACAGAGAAACCAACAGCAAGAUGAAAGACCAAUCAACUAUCUUCCACUUGAUGAAGGCCACUGCAUCAGGAUCUACUUAGAUCGCUGCCUCAUCUUUCGG
This 258-nucleotide unclassified non-coding RNA is filed under the name Hevea brasiliensis (rubber tree). Lineage: Eukaryota; Viridiplantae; Streptophyta; Magnoliopsida; Malpighiales; Euphorbiaceae. The record is from RNAcentral.